This 72-nucleotide transfer RNA is filed under the name Sphaerodactylus townsendi. Its description in RNAcentral is "tRNA-Ala". It matches the Rfam family "tRNA". From Rfam's summary of the family: Transfer RNA (tRNA) molecules are approximately 80 nucleotides in length. Lineage: Eukaryota; Metazoa; Chordata; Lepidosauria; Squamata; Sphaerodactylidae. The record is from RNAcentral.
GGGGCUGCGGUUCAGUGGCAGAGCAUCUGUUUUGCAGGCAGAAGAUUCUAGGUUCAACCCCCAGCAUCUUUA